CUUCGUUUCUCUUUCUUCAGAUGAUGAUCCCAAGCCUUCUGGCGAUCUCUUAAAAUAAAGCCCGGUCUGUUUCAAUAAACAGGAUGUUUAGACAUAUGUUUAAAUUCUACGGUUCUUAAAGACCAUAAAUUUAAAAAAAGGCUUUAUGAAGAAAGCUCUUUAAGCUUUUCCAGUGAUUUAAGAUGAUACCGGGGAAGGUUUUCCGGUUUAUCCCGGAGGGCUUGUAGCUCAGUUGGUUAGAGCGCGCGCUUGAUAAGCGUGAGGUCGGAGGUUCAAGUCCUCCCAGGCCCACCAAUUUAUGCUCGUUUUUUGCUUAUCCAAGAGUAUGAAGCUUAAGCGUAUUAAAGCCUCUUUUAAUCUUUGUUUAUUUUAAAGAUUUAAUUUUAUCAUUCAAAGAUUGUUUGUUAAAUUUAUUCUAUUAAGUUUGUCAAAGGGGGAGUUUGUCAAAGGAGGUUUUUAAAUCCCUUCAUUUUGAAAUUCCUUCAAGGUAUAGAGAAAUUUAUAUGAUGUAUAGAGAAAUUUAAAUGAUGCAAAUCAAAAUAGUACAAAUCAAAGUCGUAUAAAUGAUUCAAGUUGAUAAAUUUUCUUGAGGUUGAUUUGAGAGAGCAUUCUUUAGGGGCCGUAGCUCAGCUGGGAGAGCACCUGCUUUGCAAGCAGGGGGUCGUCGGUUCGAUCUCGUCCGGCUCCAUCACUUUAUGGUUCAUCAUCAUGUUGUAAGAACAUUGUUUUGCGAGAGGUUUUUGUUACUUCUUGCCUGUUCUAUUGAAAUUGUGAAGAGAAG
This 781-nucleotide transfer RNA is filed under the name Bartonella sp. KM2519. RNAcentral describes it as "partial 16S-23S ribosomal RNA intergenic spacer". The stretch from base 218 to 291 matches the Rfam family "tRNA". The record is from RNAcentral. Lineage: Bacteria; Pseudomonadati; Pseudomonadota; Alphaproteobacteria; Hyphomicrobiales; Bartonellaceae.